RNAcentral lists this ribosomal RNA (253 nucleotides) under uncultured bacterium. RNAcentral's name for it is "partial 16S ribosomal RNA". It matches the Rfam family "Bacterial small subunit ribosomal RNA", at positions 524 to 776 of the family's 1533-position model. The record is from RNAcentral.
UACGUAGGGUGCAAGCGUUGUCCGGAAUCAUUGGGCGUAAAGCGCGCGUAGGUGGCCAUUUAAGUCCGCUGUGAAAGUCAAAGGCUCAACCUUUGAAAGCCGGUGGAUACUGCAGGGCUAGAGUCCGGAAGAGGCGAGUGGAAUUCCUGGUGUAGCGGUGAAAUGCGCAGAUAUCAGGAAGAACACCCGUGGCGAAGGCGGCUCUCUGGGACGGUACUGACGCUGAGACGCGAAAGCGUGGGGAGCGAACAGG